CGUAGAAGACUAGUGUUAUUCAUCUUUAAUAGGUUUAAGGGUACCUAGACGGUAAAUUAGUCUAAAUAUGAUACGGUUUACUAGAGUUAUAUAUAAGGAGGUGAGUAUUUAAGGAGUAGAGUUGAAAUUCAGUCAUACCUUAAGGACUGGUAAUGGCGAAAGCAACCUUUUAUCUAAUAACUGACGUUGAGGGACGAAGGCUCGGGUAGCGAACAGGAUU
This 220-nucleotide ribosomal RNA is filed under the name uncultured bacterium. Its description in RNAcentral is "partial 16S ribosomal RNA". It matches the Rfam family "Bacterial small subunit ribosomal RNA", at positions 526 to 779 of the family's 1533-position model. The record is from RNAcentral.